GCCCCGGAAGGGUAAGCAGAUCAUCAGUAGAGUUAAUUAAACGUAGAUAAUAAGAACUUUAACAUAAACAAUUACAGAAUUAAACCCAUAGUAGUGUACCAUAAUGAUAUGAUAUAGAACAAAAAUAAAAGAAUAACAAAAUACGCCGUAUUAUAAAGAAUAUCAAUGAUUAGAAUUACUAAAAAAACAAACUCAACGUACUCAACCUGUAUAUAUUGACCAGGAAAACA
Molecule: long non-coding RNA, 230 nt
Filed under: Mytilus galloprovincialis (Mediterranean mussel)
Lineage: Eukaryota; Metazoa; Mollusca; Bivalvia; Mytilida; Mytilidae
Source: RNAcentral